AAGGAGUGUGUAACAACU
Molecule: non-coding RNA, 18 nt
Filed under: Arabidopsis thaliana (thale cress)
Lineage: Eukaryota; Viridiplantae; Streptophyta; Magnoliopsida; Brassicales; Brassicaceae
Also listed under: 1 other name
Source: RNAcentral